Molecule: transfer RNA, 72 nt
Filed under: Candidatus Aenigmatarchaeota archaeon
Lineage: Archaea; Nanobdellati; Candidatus Aenigmatarchaeota
Description: tRNA-Met
Rfam family: tRNA
About the family: Transfer RNA (tRNA) molecules are approximately 80 nucleotides in length.
Source: RNAcentral
GCCGAGGUAGUUCAGCGGUAGAACGCCACGCUCAUAACGUGGAGGCUGUGGGUUCGACACCCAUCCUCGGCA